This 365-nucleotide ribosomal RNA is filed under the name uncultured eukaryote. RNAcentral describes it as "partial 18S ribosomal RNA". It matches the Rfam family "Eukaryotic small subunit ribosomal RNA", at positions 592 to 976 of the family's 1831-position model. The record is from RNAcentral.
CAAAAGCGUAUAUUAAAGUUGUUGCAGUUAAAAAGCUCGUAGUUGAACCUUGGGCUUGGCUGGCCGGUCCAUCUUUUUUGAUGCGUACUGGACCCAGCCGAGCCUUUCCUUCUGGCUAGCCUUUUUGGCGAACCAGGACUUUUACUUUGAAAAAAUUAGAGUGUUCAAAGCAGACCUUUGCUCGAAUAUAUUAGCAUGGAAUAAUAGAAUAGGACGUUAUGGUUCUAUUUUGUUGGUUUCUAGGACCAUCGUAAUGAUUAAUAGGGACGGUCGGGGGUAUCAGUAUUCAGUAGUCAGAGGUGAAAUUCUUGGAUUUACUGAAGACUAACUACUGCGAAAGCAUUUACCAAGGACGUUUUCAUUAA